Molecule: long non-coding RNA, 5821 nt
Organism: Callithrix jacchus (white-tufted-ear marmoset)
Lineage: Eukaryota; Metazoa; Chordata; Mammalia; Primates; Cebidae
Source: RefSeq, a predicted model, not a curated record
CAGGCUCAUGGGUGGAAGGGGUUUGCCUUGUCUGGGAUGAGACUUUGGAUUGGACUUUUGGGUUAAUGCUGGAAUGAGAUGGAAUCUUGCUCUGUUGUCCAGGAUGGAGUGCAAUGGUGCAAACCUGGCUCACUGCAAUCUCUGUCUCUUGGGUUCAAGUUAUUCUCCUACCUCAGCCUCCUGAGUAGCUGGGAUUACAGGCACCCACCACCACACCCAACUAAUUUUUGUAUUUUUAGUAGAGAUGAGGUUUCAUCAUGUUUGCCAGGCUGGUCUCAAACUCCUGACCUCAAUUGAUCCACCCGCCUCAACCUCCCAAAGUGCUGGUUGUUAUAACUUCUGUUCUUUUUGUCUUUUGGCUCCGUUUACAGAAGUAUAUGCAUUUGGAUCUUGGCUGUUCUUUAAUUGUUAAAAUAGCUGAAGAUCACUGUGAGUGUUUGUGUAAAAAGUGGGGAGUUAUGCUCCAUUUCCUUGAAGUUGAAGUACUGGCAAAAAUUUCUUUGAGUUCUUCUACAUGGUAGUUAUGUCUAUUUCCCACAUUUAUUUAUUUAUUUAAGGUUUUUUAUAUUAGCACAGACUUAUGGAUAUUUAUUUUAUUCUUUGUAUUAUAUUCCAUUACUAAAUUAUUUGUUACUCAAGGAGCUCUUGAUUUUUUUUAUUGUAAAUUGUAGGAGCAAGCCAUAUUUUGGCAGUAGGUAUGCUCACUGCUACUGGGGCAUCAUGCUUCUAGGCCCUCUCAGAUGACAGAGGAAGAAAACUUAUGUAUGCAUACUAUACUGUGUAUAAACUCAUUAUAAGUAUUUUAAUAUUUAUCCAUCCAUAGUAUGUUCAGGUAGACAUAAUACUGAUGUCUCCAACACUAAACCAUUACCAUAUGAAUUAUCCUAGCCUUCUUUCCUUCUUUGCAACCUCCCAGUUCAACAGUGAGAAACUUGGCUUCCACAAUUCACCACUGAUUUACUUAAUGUUUUAAUUGCUUAGAUAUGAGUAGUUAUUUCCAAAUUUCUAAAUUGUUAAUCACAGUCUUGUGGGGAAAAUACUUUAUGAACUAGAGUAUAGUGCAAGUGUAUAGUUUCUUUGCGUUAGUCUUACAGAUUCCACUCAUUUCCAAAGCUGCUUAGAUCAGCAAUAUUUUCCCCAGCCCCUUCAGUGAGGUGGUUUUCAGAUAUUUGUAAUAUAGUUUAAUUUUUCUCAUUCUUAAUUUUAUUUCUAGUUUUGCCAAAUUCCUAAAUAAUUUAAUUUGUGUAUACUAGCUUCACCCUUUCUUUUUUAACUUUUGAAAAUGUUUUAUUUAUUUUUAUUUUUUAAUUCAAUGAUUUUUGGGGUAUGUGUGGUUUUUUAGUACAUGGAUAAGUUCCUUAGUGGUGAUUUCCAAGAUUUUGGGGCACCCAUCACCUGGAAAGUGUACAAUGUACCCAUUGUGUAGUCUUUUAUCCCUUGCCCCCUUCCCACCAUUCUGUUCAACUCCCCAAAGUCCAUGCCUUUGUGAUCUCAUAAUUUAGCUCCCACUUAUAAGUAAGAGCAUACGACGUCUGGUUUUCCAUUCUUGAGUUACUUCACUUAGAACAAUGGUCUUCAACUCCAUCCAGGUUGUAGCGAAUGCCAUUAUGUCAUUCCUUUUUAUGGUUGAGUAGUAUUUCAUCAUAUAUAUAUAUAUUACACUUUCCUUUUCCAUUUCUUGGCUCAUGGACAUUUAGGCAGGUUCCAUAUUUUUGCAAUUGCAAAUUGUGCUGCUAUAAACAUGCAUGUGCAAGUGUCCUUUUCGUAUAAUGACUUCUUUUCCUCUGGGUAGAUACCCAGUAAUGGAAUUGCUGGAUCAAAUUGUAGUCCUACUCUUAGUUCUUUAAGGAAUCUCCAUACCAUUUUCCACAGUGGUUGUACUACUUUACAUUCCUACCAGCAGUGUAAAGUGUACCCUUUCACUACAUCCAUUCCAACAUCUAUUAUUAUUUUUUUAUUUUUUUAACUAUAAUCAUUCUUUCAGGAGUAAGAUGUUAUUUCAUUGUGGUUUUAUUUUGCAUUUCCCUGAUAUCAGCAAUGUUGAGCAAUAUUUUCAUAUGUUGUUGGACAUUCAUAUAUUUUCCUUUGAGAUUGUCUAUUCAUGUCACUUCUCCACUUGUUGAUGAGAUUAUUUGCCUUUUUCUUGCUGAUUGUUUGAUUUCCUUGUAAAUUCUGGAUGUUAUUCCUUUGUUGGAUGCCUAGUUUGAGAAUAUUUUCUCCCACUCUGUGGAUUUUCUGUUUAAUCUGCUGGUUAUUUCUUUUGCUGGGCAGGUGCCAUUUAAUUUCUAUUAUAAAUUUCUAUGGGUUUGAUAAACACAUAGUAUCAUGAUCUACGAUUACAGUAUCAUACAGAAUCUUUUCACCAUCCUACAGUACUUUACCUCUUCAAUCCAUGUAACCUAUUUUCCUUGAAAGGCAUUGUUUUCUUUUUUUAAAUAACUUUUAAAAUUUACAGCAGUUUUAUGAUUACAAAAAAUGUGCAAAAAUAAUACAGUGUCCCAUAUUUCCAAAGCCACUUUAUUCUUGGUGGAAAUACUUUCCUUUUCACCCUGAUAGUUUUGAGGGCUAGUGGCCAGGUGUUUUUGUAUGAUAUCCCUCACUGGGAUCUAUGUGCUGUAAUCUCUAGAUUGAGAUUAUAGAUUUAGGAAGCAGAUAACAGUAACAGAGUUACAGUGCCAUUCUUGUCACAUCAUAUCAGAGUUGCCAUAAAACCCUGGCAAUCGCUGAUUUGUUUACCAUCUCUAUAGUAAUACGUUUGCAGAAUAUUUUAUGAAUGAAAUCAUACAGUAUGUAGUUUUUUUACAGACUUUUAGUCUUUUAGUAGUUCUAGGUUCACACAAAAAUUAAGGGGAAGGUACAGAAAUUUCCUAUAUACUCUUUGCUCAACACAUGCGCAACCUCCUACAUUAUGAACAGCCCCCUCCAGAGGGAUUCAUUUGUUACAAAUGAUGAACCUGCAUUGACACAUCAUCAUCACCCAAAGUCUCUAGUUUAGGUUUCACUCUUGGAGUUGUAAAUUCCAUGGUUUUGGACAAAUGUGUGAUGAUAUGUAUUUAUUGUCAUAGUACACAGUGUAGUUUCACUGGCCUCAAUUUCUUCUGUGCUCUGCCAACACAUCCCUUUCUUCCCACCCCAACUUCUGACAACCGCUCCACUAAUAACUUACUGUCUCCAUAAUUUUGCCCUUUCUAGAAUGUCAAAUCAUUGGAAUCAUGCAGUAUGUAGCCUUCUUAUGUUGGCUGAUUUUACUGAGUAAUAUUUUCCUCGAGUUGCCUCCAUAUCUUUUCAGGACUUCAUGACUCAUUUUUUAAAUUACUGAAUAAUAUUUCAUUGUCCGUAUGUACCACAGUUUAUCCAUUCACCUUUUGAUGGACAUCUUGGCUGCCUCUAAGUAUUCAUGAUUAUUAAUAAAGUUACUAUAAACAUCCUUGUACAGGAUUUUGUGUACACAUAUGUUUUCAAUUCCUUGGGUAAAUAUCAAGGAGUAUUAUGGUUGGAUCAUAUGGAAAAAAUAUGUUUAGUUUUUUAAGGAGCUGCAAAACUCCAAAGUGGCUGUAGAAUUUUUCAUUCCCACCCACGAUGAAUGAGUUAUUGUUGCUCCACAUUUUCUCCCUAAUUUGGUUUUGUCAGUGUUCCAAAUUUUGGCUAUUUUAGUAGAUGUGUAGAGGUAUCUUAUUGUUGUUUUAAUAUGCAUUUUUCAGAAAAUAUAUAAUGGGGUGUGAUACGGUUAGGCUCUGUGUCCCCACCCAUAUAUCAUCUUGAAUUGCAAUCCCCAUAAUCCCCACUUGUUGAGGACAGAACCUGGUGGGAGGUGAUUGGAUCAUGAGGGUGGUUCCCCCAGGCUGUUUUUAUGACAGGGAGUGAGUUCUCAUGAGAUCUGAUGCUUUUAUAAGUGUUUGACAGUUCCUCCUAUGCAUGCAUUCUAUCUCUCCCCUGCCACUAUGUAAGAUGUGCCUCUUCCCCUUCUGCCAUGAUUGUGUAAGGUUUCUGAAGCCUUUCCAGCCAUGCAGAACUGGGAGUCAAUUAGAUCUCUUUCUUUUAUAAAUUACCCAGUCUCAAGUAUUUCUUUAUAGCAACACAAGAACAGACUAAUACAGGGGACAUCUUUUAGUAUGUUUAUAUGCAUCUGUGUAACUUUUUAGAGUAGGUAUUAGGUGUUUGGCCCAUUUUUAAAUUGAGUUGCUUGUUUUCUCAUUGUUCAGUUUUAUUAGUUCUCUGUAUAUUUUGGAUAAUAGUCCUUAUCAAAUGAAUCUUUUACAAAUAUUUUUUCCCAGUCAAUGGUUUAUCUUAUUCUCUUGAUAUUGUCUUUCAUGUGGCAGAAUUUUUUUUAUUUUAAUGAAGUCCAGCUUAUUCAUUUUUUAAAAAUAGAUCAUGCCCUUGGUGUUACAUCUAAAAUGUCACUUCAGUACCCAAGGUCAUCUAGGUUUUCUCCCAUGUAAUUUUCAGGGAGUUUUAUAGUUGUGCAAUUGACAUUUAGCUCUAUGAUCCAGUCUCUUAUAAUCCAGUCUUUUCAGAUUGGCUUCUUACAUUGAUCAAUGUGCACUUAAAAUGUAUUAAUGUCUUUCAGGGUCUUGAUUCCCUUUAGUUCCUGAAUUGUGUUCUAUUAUAUAAAUGUACCACAGCUUGUUGGUAUGUUCAUCUUUUUUGUUAGUAUUUUCACCUUUAUGAAACACUUUUGGCUACCAUAAACACUUUCAUGCAAAUUUUGUGUAGACAUAACUUAUCAGAUUAGUUGGGUUGUAUGUCUUACUGUGUAAGAAACUCCAACUGUCUUCUGAAGUUGCUUCACCACUUUGCAUUCUUACUAGCAGUGAAUGAGAAUUCCUACUACUUCACAUUGUUGCCAGCAGUUAAUAUAAUCAGUUUUUUUGGACUUUAGACAUUCUAUUAUGUUUGCGGUCAUUUCUCAUUGUUGUUUUAAUUUGCACUUCCCUAAAGAUGAAUUAUACUGUACUUAUUAUCAUAUGCUUAUUUAGCAUUCACAUAUAUUGUUUGAUGUUCAAAUCUUUUGUUUACUUUUAAAUUAGGUUGUUAGUUUUAAUAGGCCUUUGUACAUUUUGGAUUUUGUCUUUGAUGAAAUACAUGUUUUGCAAAUAUUUUUCCCAGUCUGUGUCUUGUCUUUCCAUUCUCAUAUUACUAUCUUUCUCAGGGCACACAUUUAUAAUCUUAAGAAAAUAAAGAAUAUCCAGGAAUGAUUUACAUAUUAGUAAUUUAUUUACAGGUUACCAAAAGACAAACCAUGAUUGGAAUGAUGAGAGUCUGAUCCCUUUUUCAUGCUGUUCCUGAAGUCUAGCUUGCCCUCAUCAAGAAACAGGCUCAAUGAACCAAUGUUAUCUUUAUGAAGCUUUAUUUUCACAUUUAGACAUGUGAUUCAUCUGGAAUUGACUUUGUGCAGGGUUUGAGGUACAGACCAAGGUUUCUUAUGUAAAUUUCCUGUUUAUUUAAUAUUUAUCCGAAGGUAAUCUUUUCUGUACUGCAGUGGUACUUUAAUGAUAGAUAAUUCAGUUGUCUGCAGUCAUAGUGGAUCUAAACGUGAAUUCACUAUUCUGUUUCUGCUAUAAUUAUUUGCAUAUCCCUAUGCACACACACAUCUUUUAAAUGACAAGAGAUGUUUAAAUAUGUUUGGAUAUCUAGUAAUGUGAGUUCAUUAUUAAGGGUCUUUUGUUUGCAUUUCUAAAUAAAUUUUAGAAUUAAGCUUGUUUGCUUCCAUAAAAGAAAAUGCUUGGCUUUGAGUUAUAAUGGGUAAAUCUAUGGGUUAAUAGAGAGAUAAGACCUUAAUCGUGUUAAAUUGUGCAAUAAAUAAACUCAAUAUAGUUCCCCA